GACGAACGCUGGCGGCGUGCUUUACACAUGCAAGUCGAACGGUGAAGGUGGAGCUUGCUCCGCCGGAUCAGUGGCGAACGGGUGAGUAACACGUGGGCAACCUGCCCCUAACUUUGGGAUAACUACUCGAAAGAGUAGCUAAUACCGGAUAUGAAGUCUGUAGGCAUCUACGGAUUUGGAAAGUUUUUCGGUUAGGGAUGGGCCCGCGGUCUAUCAGCUUGUUGGUGAGGUAGUGGCUCACCAAGGCGACGACGGGUAGCCGGCCUGAGAGGGCGACCGGCCACACUGGGACUGAGACACGGCCCAGACUCCUACGGGAGGCAGCAGUGGGGAAUAUUGCGCAAUGGGCGAAAGCCUGACGCAGCAACGCCGCGUGCGGGAUGAAGGCCUUCGGGUUGUAAACCGCUUUCAGCAGGGAAGAAGCGAAAGUGACGGUACCUGCAGAAGAAGCACCGGCUAACUACGUGCCAGCAGCCGCCGUAA
This 483-nucleotide ribosomal RNA is filed under the name uncultured bacterium. RNAcentral describes it as "partial 16S ribosomal RNA". It matches the Rfam family "Bacterial small subunit ribosomal RNA", at positions 28 to 523 of the family's 1533-position model. The record is from RNAcentral.